UCUAGUUCUAGAUCUAGAUCUCUACCUAAAGAUAAAGAUGAGAGAGAACGUUGCAUAAAAGCAAUCCCACGCGACAAUAUUAUACCCGAUACUGCAAACACUGUUGUUUUUGUAUUAAACAUUUACCAGAUGGAUUUGAAACUAUUUCUGUGAAAGGAAGAUUAAGACAAAGAAAACCAUCCAUCGCUAUUUUCUAAUUUUCUCAAAAGUUUAAUCCCAACACCGGUGCCCUUAGCAAGAACAACAUGUAGAGCUAGAUCUAGAUCUAGAAUCUAGAUCUAGGCUAGUUAUUCAGUCAGAUCAGUUGAAAGGGGCCAGUUAGAAGAAUAUUCACAAAAAGACUUUGUUUCUUUUGAUUCAUUGUGUUCAUUUGUAGGAGCCAUUGUGUGACAAGGUAGGCUAUGCAGAGUGAAAUAUUUAUGGACAUCUCACAGUAUUAUGGUUUUGAGAUGAGACAAGACAAGUGCUUUGUCAUGAGCAAUGUUUUGCUAAACAAUUUCUGCAAGAUAUCCAAUCCACCAUCUGAGAAAGAACCUAAACAGAAAGUCCUAAAGCUGUCUUCAUAAACAAUAGUACGGAACGCUGAGGAGGCCUGAUAAUUAUAGUAAGCCGUGAUCUAUCCCUAAGCCUAGCUACACGCAGGAGUAGCGUGUCAUGCGCCUGCCUGCCGCAUGGCCAUGAGAGAGGACUGCGGUGUGCUGGUCGUGGAUACUUGUAGCAAGGGAAACUACCCAUGAAUAAGUACAGCUGGAUAAUCGUCUAUCUUCUGACCAUUUUGACCGCCCGGUACUGCCAGCCUAGACGCUCCACUACCACAUGCAAACCCCCAAGCCCCAACGCUGUCUACACAUGACCGCCAAUCGACUCUCCAAACCAGCUCCCUCACACAAGCACUAACAAAAGACUCAAGCCCUUGAUCGACCAACUCGACCAGAAGCUGCCCCUAUGGUCUUUUCUACGCAGGACAAUGUUCAUGUACAUGUACGUCAAAUUCUACACUUAAGUCCACAUGUAGCCUCUACCUCUAGUACCGUUCUUUACGAGCCCCACGCUGUUACCUACUGUCUCCCCUCUUUCUCAUUAUUCUCUUAAAUAUAACUUGACCUCUACGAACCCUGGUGGCCAUACACCUGCUAAUUCUUACGGACUAACGAAAUCAGACUCUGACGGCGUCUGCCCUCGUUUACCUCCUCUGCAAACUGUAUGCUCAUCCCAAGCACGACCACUCCUCACGCCCAACACAUCGUCCCACUACUCCUCUCCGGGAAAUGUCAUCGACCUCUCCUCACUACCCUAAUCAUCUGCACAAGUUAAACUUUUAUCCAAGUGAAGAGAUUUUGCCCUACCCAAAACAAUUUUAACCUCUUCUAAUUCAUACAAGAUACAAAAAAUUACCCGAGACGUUGCAGGUUUUUGGAGUACUUCUCAGAACCAAACUCUUCUCCUUCUUCUGUUAUACUGCCCAAAUCAUAUUGGACUCCCCCCUCCAGGGCGUAAUGCUGCCUUUGACUUCUAUUGCGAUAACCUAGAAAAAUCAGCAGUCCAUAACUGAAACACUUGCAGACUACCGCCAAAGGCAACAAUUAUUUAUCCCGUGCAGAAAGGUCAGCGAUUUGCGAGCUCAUUGAUAACACCAAUCUAACUAUCCGUGAAGUUGACAAGGGUCGCUCCAUUGUGGUCUUGGACACCACUGACUACAACAACACCAUCUCAUCCAUGUUGAACAACCCUUCUUUCUAUAAACCCCUCAGCUCUGACCCCACUUCUUCUCAUUUUUUAGCGCCAUUCAGGACCAAAUCCACCAUCUCAAAUAUCUCAACUUAAUAUCCCCGGAAUUGUCCAAAUAUAUUCUUCACGGGAAGGUGUCGUGCCCCUACUUUUAUGGCUAACCAAAGAUCCACAAGUUAGCAAACAAAAAGUCCAAAUCUCCCUCCCCCCCAACUUAGAGGCAUUAUAUUCCAAAUAAAUGGUCCUACCGUCAUGGCUUCCUAUUGGCUGGACAGCAUCCUCAAACCCAUUGUCCCUGACUUCUGUGGUAUCCCCUGGGUGAAAGAUAACCACCACGUUCUCCAAAAAAUAGAUAGAAACCUAUACCUAUCUAAAUAUUCCACUCUUUUCGGACAAGCUCACUUUGGAGACCUCUGAACUGAUUACUAAAGGUCCUAUCAAUAUGAAAACUGGCUAGCUGUAAAAUUUCGGGUUUUAUCUCCCUUUUGCCUUUAAAAAAAUCGUCUUGGUAGCAUAGUUUUGAAAUGUGUAAGGAAAUAAAACUGUAAACAAAAUUCAAGAUGGCCACCGUUUCCAUGGUAACCCAUGAAUUAAUAAAUCGUUUGAAUGUGUGGAUUUUCAUUUCUCGUACGUAUCUUGUUGUGCAAUAAAGU
This 2381-nucleotide long non-coding RNA is filed under the name Aplysia californica (California sea hare). RNAcentral's name for it is "uncharacterized LOC118479180, transcript variant X1". Lineage: Eukaryota; Metazoa; Mollusca; Gastropoda; Aplysiida; Aplysiidae. The record is from RNAcentral.